AACAGUUAUAUCAGUGAGAUUCAUCUGCAUUUCAGUUUUUUAUAACUAUAACUUUUCUGUAAAUUCUACUGUCUCCUUAGUAAUUCCUCCGAAGUCAUUAGUUUUAACAGGAAGAUUUAUGCAUUGCAAAAAUAACUGUGUUUUUCAAAAUGUCUUUAAAGACUUUUUUUUCAUGAAUAAAUUUAAGAAUUCUGCUUUAGUUUUUUUUCUUGUGUUUUUUUUAAAGUCUGCAAUUCUGAGAACAUCCUGACAGUCUGGCCUAGCAGUCCUGACCUAGAGAGGAAAAGCCAGUAGAAGCUCCAAAGAAUCUGAGCUCCCUUAGAUUCCUAAACCUUAUGUCUGUGACACCUAUAUGAAGAGGUAAUGAUUGGACUCACUGUGUACAGCAGGUAAAGUGAAAUGUCUGCCUCUCGAGAGAUGUUUCUUUAUGACUCCACUUAAUAGAUUCUAUAUGGACUGAAUGUCCCUGUGCACACAUGUGGUAUAUAAAACUUAACUGUACUGAAGAUUAUUUUUAUCAUUAAAAACAUUGUUUACUCUUGUUUAAAAAAAUUUUUUAAGCAAGGUCACACAGAGCAAAUAAUUUAUAUUGUGGGUCAUCAGGAAAUUAGGCUAAAAUAGCUAAUAAUUAUAACUAAUGAUUAAUUAUUCAAUUUAAAAUUGUUAACCCAAAAAUCUAAAUAACAAAAAAUAAUAGUGUAGCAGAUACUGUCAUCCCAUUGACCUCCUCUCAGCACUUCCCACUCAAUACAUGCAACUUUUAACCUGAGGAGUUUUUCUCAACCCCUCCAGGGCAGUCAAGAAGCACCAAGGACCCUGAGAGCAGUCUUCAACCAAUGACACUUGAAAACUGAAGGAUAAAUACAUAUGCCAAGUGUGGUAGGCUGAAGAAUAUCCUCUGAAGAUAUCAGGCCCUGAAACUGGUGAAUUUUGUGUUUUAGAGCCAAAGGUAUGAUUAAGGAUCUUGAGAUAAGGAGAUGAUUCUGGACUGUCCAGGUAGGCCCUAAAUGCGAUCACAUGUAUUCUUAGGGAAACUAGGCAGAGGGGGAUUUCACGCAGAUGGAAGAGGAGGAGACCUUGUGGCCACAGAAGCGGACAGUGCAGUGAUGUAACCACAAGUCAAGGAGAGCCAGCAGCCACCAGAAGCAGGAAGAGGCAAGGAGCAGACUGUCCCGUGGAGCCUCUGGAGGCAGGAUGGCCCUGCUGACUGCAUGAUUCCAAGGAUACUGAUUUCGAACUUUUGGCCUCUAGACCUGUGAGAGAAUAAGUUUUCAUUGUUUUCAGCUACCAAAUUUGUGGCGAUUGUCACAGUGACCACAGAACACUAAUAUACCAAUAUUUAUACCCAUAAGUACACCAAUGUCCUCACUUCUCAAAAGCAGAACAACUCUGAGGCAUCUUCUGUUGUCUCCAGGAGUCUGCAGCAGAGUUGAGCCCUACCUUUAGGGUUACCCACCCAUCAGCCUACUCUGUUAUUGACUUUCUCUUCUCAGUCUCGCUUGCUUAUUCUUCCAUCAGUGGUUCCAGGUCUCUCCUUCAAUACAAACCACAUACUCUCAAAUCCUUCUGUAUGAGUUUCUUGGAGUUGCUAUAACAAAGUACCAUAAACUGUGUGGCUUAUAACAAAAAAAAUUUAUUCUCACAGUUCUGGAGGCCAGAAGUUGGAAAUACAAUAAAGGUGUUGAUUCAGUUGGUUCCUCUUCAGGCCUCUGAGAAGUCUGUUUCAUGCUUCUUUCCUAGCUUUUGGUGAUGGCUGGCAAUUCAUGGCAUUCUCUGGUUUGUAAAUGCGUCUCUCCUAUCUCUGCCUCCAUCUUUACAUAGCAUUCUCCCCUGUCUCUGUGUCUUCAUGUGGCCAUCUUCCCCUCAUGUAAGAACACUAGUUAUAUUGGAUCAAGGACCCAGUUUCAUGACAUUAUCACAACUUGGUAACAUCUGUAAAGAUCCUAUGCCCAAAUAAAGUCACAUUUCUACAUACUGGGGAUAAGAAUUAUAACAUCUUUUGUAAGGCACAUACUUCAACUCAUAACACCUUGACUCAGUGUCAAAUAUGGGGACCCCUAACCUAAGACAAUUAUCACUUAAUAAGCAUUUUUAUUUCCAAAGCAUAAGCAUUUUUAUUUCCCUAAAUAUAAUUAUUUUUCUUCAGUAAUCUUAUGAUAUUGUGUCUAUUUCAAAGUUAAUAAAUCUGAGGAUUAGAUAUUAUGGUGUAGUCAAGUCUGUGUUUUACCAGGCAGGAAAUGUAAUAAGAUGCCAGUUCUACCAGUGGGAGUGGUUUUCAGCAAAAGAGAUCAAAUACCUUAAGCUUUUUCUUUUUUCCCCCCCUCAUCUGCAAUAUUAUAGAUCAGGAAACAAAGAGGGAUUUUCCUAGGGUUGUGAUAAUCUUUUCUAUUUGAGAUUUUGUUGAUAAAUUUAAUGUCUAAGACCUGAUGUUUCCUCUUUCUUUACUUGAAUUGUCUGUUCAGAGCCACUCUUGUUUAUUCAUUGCUUUCCAGAAUCUUUGGGGAAGGGGGAGUAGACUCCACACACAAAGUCAUGUCCAGUUUCUGAUAAUCCCUUUGGCAGCAAUAGUUGCUCACUCUCUGUACCAGCCUCUGCUAGGAGCUCUCUGUGAAAGAGUGUUCUACAAAACAAGGACACAUUGUCUCUGCCUCUAUUCUAAAGCUGCUGGUAAGUACCCUGCACAGGGAAGAGACCAUAAGAUGAAACUAACAUCUUAGAUACCUUGUAUAUCACAAUGUGCCCCGGCUUAUUCUAAUAUUCUCUACUUCAUCUUUCACCAAAGGCCAAGUCCUUUCUCUGAUUACAAGUUUGGAAAUACUUCCACUUACGGGCUUAUCCACAUAUAGUCCCAAAACCUGCUUAGGUGGCAUUUAUGCUUCUGAUUGCUUCCCUUCCUUUUAUAAGCUGAUACUGCUGAUUAUUAUUUUUUUAAUUAUUUAUUUGGCUGUACCCAGAGUUGUGGGCUUCCCAGGUGGCACUACUGGUAAAGAAUCUGCCUGCCAGUGCCUGAGACUCAAGAGACCUGCAUUCUAUUCCUGGGUCAGGAAGAUCCCCUGGAGAAGGAAAUGGCAACCCACUCUAGUAUUCUUGCCUAGAAAAUUCCAUGGACAGAAGAUCCUGGUGGGCUACAGUCCAUGGUGUCGUGAAGAGUCGGACACGACUGAGCACACACACACAUUCUACAUACCCCGUCUUAGUUGCAGCAGGUGGCAGCUUCUAUCUUCGUUUGCAGCUUGUGGGAUCUUUAGUUGAUUAGUUGCGGCAUUCGAACUCUUAGUUGUGACAUAUUGGGAUCUAGUUCCCUGACCAGGGAUCAAACUCAGGCCCCCUACAUUGAAAGCAUGGAGUCUUAGCCGCUGAAGCACCAGGGAAGUCUGUGUUGCUAAUAAUUAAAAUCCUCUCAGGUGAAUAAAU
This is a long non-coding RNA of Bos taurus (domestic cattle), 3414 nucleotides long. The record is from Ensembl. NCBI's taxonomy places the organism in Eukaryota, Metazoa, Chordata, Mammalia, Artiodactyla, Bovidae.